GAGGAAUUUUCCGCAAUGGGCGCAAGCCUGACGGAGCGACGCCGCGUGAGGGAUGAAGGCUUUCGGGUCGUAAACCUCUUUUACAAGGGAAAAAGGCGCAAGCUUGAUGGUACUUUGUGAAUAAGCCCCGGCUAACUACGUGCCAGCAGCCGCGGUAAUACGUAGGGGGCGAGCGUUGUCCGGAAUUACUGGGCGUAAAGGGCGUGUAGGCGGUUGGAAAAGUCUGGCGUGAAAUAUCUCGGCUUAACCGGGAUGCUGCACUGGAAACUUUCUGACUGGAGUAUGGGAGGGGUAACUGGAAUCCCCGGUGUAACGGUGAAAUGUGUAGAUAUCGGGGGGAACACCUGUGGCGAAGGCGGGUUACUGGACCAUUACUGACGCUGAUACGCGAAAGCGUGGGGAGCAAAC
RNAcentral lists this ribosomal RNA (408 nucleotides) under uncultured bacterium. RNAcentral's name for it is "bacterial SSU rRNA". It matches the Rfam family "Bacterial small subunit ribosomal RNA", at positions 356 to 773 of the family's 1533-position model. The record is from RNAcentral.